This 484-nucleotide ribosomal RNA is filed under the name uncultured bacterium. Its description in RNAcentral is "partial 16S ribosomal RNA". It matches the Rfam family "Bacterial small subunit ribosomal RNA", at positions 30 to 507 of the family's 1533-position model. The record is from RNAcentral.
AUUGAACGCUGGCGGAAUGCUUUACACAUGCCAGUCGAGCGGCAGCACGGGGGCAACCCUGGUGGCGCUCGGCGAACGGGUGAGUAAUACAUCUGAACAUGCCCCUUCGUGGUGGAUAACGCUUCGAAAUAAGUGCUAUUACCGCAUACGUACUGCGGGGCAAAGCGGGGGAUCGCAAGAACCCGCGCGAUUGGCGUGGCCUAUGUCGGAUUAGCUAGUUGGUGGGGUAAAGGCCUACCAAGGCGACGAUCCGUAGCUGGUCUGAGAGGAUGAUCAGCCACACUGGGACUGAGACACGGCCCAGACUCCUACGGGAGGCAGCAGUGGGGAAUAUUGGACAAUGGGGGCAAGCCUGAUGCAGCCAUUCCGCGUGAAUGAAGAAGGCCUUCGGGUUGUAAAGCUCUUUCGGCGGGAAGGAAACGGCGAACGCUAACAUAGCUUGCUAAUGACGGUACCUGAAGAAGAAGCACCGGCUAACUCCGUG